CUUUCAGGGGGGUCACUGGGGUGCUGUGGAUAGCGAAGGCGGGGGAGAGACGCUGGUGGGGCAGAGCCAGCACCCAGCACCCACUGGCGCCCAGCUCCUCCCACGUCUCUGGGCGCCGCGGGGGCCCGGGUGCCGUGGGCGAUACGGCUUCUGCAGGGAGACUCCAGCCCACCCUGUGUUCGCUCCCGCUCCGGUCGUGGGGCCCUCGCUUCCCCCCUCGUUAUCUCUGCAUCCUAUUAGAUCCUGGCACAGGCAGCGGGCGGAGGUGGAAACGCCACACCAGCCUGCCUUUGCCCCGGUUGUUUACUGGGGAAAUAAAUAGAGAAAGAAACUCGGCAGAACAGAUGCUUGGACCGACGCAGAGGCCCUGGGAGGCUCGUGCGGUGGAGUCGUCUUCAUAAACAGACGCCGAGAGGAGCAGCCCGGAAAGUCUGUCCAAGCUCCAAACAAACGAGGACCCGGAGCCAAGCGUGAGGCCAGCCGGAAGGUCCCAGCCAGGGAGGGAGAGCCCUGGGGUGGGGGCGGUCCAACAGGACGCCCAGCCCUUUGCUCGCGCGUGGGGGCGGGGUGGGGGGAGUUGGAGGAGAGGGGUGGGGGGCGCCAACAUCGGUAUCUUCCCCUUGCUGCUUUUUAAAGGCAGUGUUGGAAAGAGGGCUGGGGGGACAGGUGUGCUGGUUGGCUCUGAGACCCUCCCCUCUCCAGACACCGGCAUGCACUGUGCUUGGCCUGACAGUGGCCUGUGAGGACGUGAUGGGUGCCCCUCCCCCUGCCCCCCAACCCCAUUCUGCUGCUGCAGCUACACCAGCCUCCAGGGCCUCCUUGGCUGUUCCGGAAAUACACCCGUUUGCUCCUGCCUCAGGGCCCUUGCACCUGCUGCUCCCCCCCGCCCCCCAGCAACACUCUUCCCACACACUGUCCUGCGCCUUGCUCCCUCACUUCCUUUAAGCUUCUGCCCUCUUAAGUCAUAGGACUUUGGAUGAGGCUUAGUUAUGCGGCAAUUAGCAACCCCAGACUCUCCGAGUCUGUGCAGGGUGAAGGGUCACCUCUCACACACACUACACAUCCCGUGUCAUGGCCUGGGGGGCGCUGUUGGUCACUCAGAGCCCCAGGCUGACCCAGGCGCCUCUAUUUGUAUUUUCAUGGUCACCGGAGCUGUGGGAAGUCACGCAGCGGCUCUGCAGUUCCUCCCAGAACUGGCACCUGUCACGUGUCUUUGGCCAAAGCAAGUCACAAGGGUCCGGAAGACAUUGGGGGAACAGCUCCGUGUUACCCUGUUCCUGAGACACUCUGUGUCUGUGCCCCCCCCCCCCCCCCCCCCGCCGUGCCCUGGUUCUCUGCUGCGCCCCUCCCUACGUGAGGAGUCGGCAUGUUCAUCGCCUCACUGUUUGCAAAAGCAAGAACGUUGCCAACACUCAAAUAUUCUCCGGUUCUUGGACUCGACCAGCAUUUUGCAGACACACAACGGAAACCCGGGAGGCCGAUUGUGGGAACGGGUACCAGCCAGGUACGCUUCGGGGGGAAAGCCGCGUGUGUCCCAUAAUCCCACUUCAGUGGAUUAUACUUUGGCCUUCUGUAUUACACAUUUCUGA
RNAcentral lists this long non-coding RNA (1589 nucleotides) under Felis catus (domestic cat). RNAcentral's name for it is "lncRNA (ENSFCAG00000045449.2)". Lineage: Eukaryota; Metazoa; Chordata; Mammalia; Carnivora; Felidae. The record is from RNAcentral.